This is a long non-coding RNA of Vespa mandarinia (Asian giant hornet), 611 nucleotides long. NCBI's taxonomy places the organism in Eukaryota, Metazoa, Arthropoda, Insecta, Hymenoptera, Vespidae. The record is from RefSeq and is a predicted model, not a curated record.
GUCCGGAGGUGGUGGCGGAUGGUCCGGAGGUGGCGGUGGAGGCUGGUGGUAAAAGUAUACGCGGUAUCUACUAAACGAUUCGAAAUCAUCGGUUUUCCCAAGAUCAUAAGUGCACUUAAUCGACCGAAUGGAUUUCAACACGUCGUCGUUGCUGAAGAAGCUUUCCCAAUCUCCCCCUUUCGAGCUUUUUGAAAGAAACAUCGUUCAAUAUUACGAAACGUGAUUAAACUCGAUCUACGAGAACGUGGAUUAAACGAGUAACGAAACGACUUAAGAAAAACGAAAAAAUGCAAGAAAUAUUUGCAAAUUUCUGUUACAUCUAUAGACGUUUCAAAAAAAAAAAAAAAAAAAAAGAAAAAAGAAAGGAAACAGAAGAACAAUCGAAGAAACAUUUCGAAAGAAAUAAUACGACGGAUAGUUUGAAAGGACACCAGCAGAGUGUUCAAAGAUUGAACUUGUUUUCUUUGUUACAAAAAAAGAGAGAGAGAGAGAAAGAAGAGAGAAAAAAAAUCAAUGGACAACGAAGAUCGUCACGUUCUUCGACGAUGAGAAAAGAACGAUACCUUCGAUGGCAUACCAUUAUCGAUUCUCACUCUUCUUCGAGAUAAAAA